Molecule: ribosomal RNA, 238 nt
Filed under: uncultured bacterium
Lineage: Bacteria
Description: partial 16S ribosomal RNA
Rfam family: Bacterial small subunit ribosomal RNA
Source: RNAcentral
UACGUAGGGUCCGAGCGUUGUCCGGAAUUAUUGGGCGUAAAGGGCUCGUAGGCGGUUUGUCACGUCGGGCGUGAAAACUCAGGGCUCAACCCUGAGCGUGCGUUCGAUACGGGCAGACUAGAGGUAUGCAGGGGAGAACGGAAUUCCUGGUGUAGCGGUGGAAUGCGCAGAUAUCAGGAGGAACACCGGUGGCGAAGGCGGUUCUCUGGGCAUUACCUGACGCUGAGGAGCGAAAGCA